UCUUAUUUUCCGUAUUUCAUAUUCUUGUGAUUUUAUUCUAUUAUUUCCUAUUCUUUAUUUCGGUUAUGUCAUCCAUCCCUUUGUUUAUUAUCCUUAUCUUGAGCCGGGGGUCUAUUGGAAACAGUCUCUCUAAUUCUUCGAAGAUAGCGGUAUGGACUGCGUACAUCUUACCUUCCUAGACCCCACGCUGUGGAAAUACACUGGGUGUUGUUGGAACUGCGAGU
RNAcentral lists this long non-coding RNA (224 nucleotides) under Capsicum annuum. Its description in RNAcentral is "long non-coding RNA (CANN_LNC003909)". Lineage: Eukaryota; Viridiplantae; Streptophyta; Magnoliopsida; Solanales; Solanaceae. The record is from RNAcentral.